This 29-nucleotide non-coding RNA is filed under the name Homo sapiens (human). Lineage: Eukaryota; Metazoa; Chordata; Mammalia; Primates; Hominidae. The record is from RNAcentral.
UGUGAAGAGCUGUGACCUUACAAUGGUGA